This 253-nucleotide ribosomal RNA is filed under the name uncultured bacterium. Its description in RNAcentral is "partial 16S ribosomal RNA". It matches the Rfam family "Bacterial small subunit ribosomal RNA", at positions 524 to 776 of the family's 1533-position model. The record is from RNAcentral.
UACGGAGGGUGCGAGCGUUAAUCGGAAUAACUGGGCGUAAAGGGCACGCAGGCGGGUAUUUAAGUGGGAUGUGAAAUCCCCGGGCUUAACCUGGGAAUAGCAUUUCAGACUGGGAGUCUAGAGUACUUUAGGGAGGGGUAGAAUUCCACGUGUAGCGGUGAAAUGCGUAGAGAUGUGGAGGAAUAUCGAAGGCGAAGGCAGCCCCUUGGAACUGUACUGACGUUCAUGUGCGAAAGCGUGGGGAGCAAACAGG